CCUCUGCUGCAUUUCUUCGAGCCCUGGCCUCGCGCACCCUUUCUCUCCACGCGUUCUAACGGUGGCUCAACUGCAUCGGGCUGAACAGGGUGUGCAGCGCAAAGGCUGCUCUUCACGGGCAACCUCUCCUACCAGCUUCAUACGCGCCCCUCGCCCCCCGCCACUGCCCCCAGUGUUCCCCAUCUGGUCUGGAUCGCCUCGCGGUCCCGGCACAGAGCUCUCCUCGACCUUGCUUACCCAGGUUUACUGCAGUCCCGCGCCUUUUCGGUUGGACAUCACUGCUAGGAGGCGGUGUCUGAUUCAGCAGGCUCUGGGCUCCUCUCUGCGGUUCUUACCUUGAAUGUGUGCGGAACUCUGGUGUGGAGGUCUCAGGAGCCACUGCUGUCGCCUAGCGCUGCUGGGGUGUUCAGCUGAGUAUCUUGGAAUGGUAGAGUCCUCCUCCAGGCUGCAAAUGACUCCUUUCUGUUUGGGGUUUGAGCAGUGCAGUCCUGGACCCCUGAAAGGAAGCCUCUGUUCCAAACACCCAGAAGACACCUUGAGUAAGAAAGCCCAAGCAUCUUCUCGGAGCCCAUUUGCCGAAGGCAGUGACAUCGCCAGCUUAUACAGACCUCUUUGGAGGUUGCUGUGGGUUCAGCAUGGCUGUCCCGUCCAGUCUUAUCUGCGCUCUGCUACUGGAGAGGUAGGUGAAGGAAGAUGUUGAUGGAGGCCGUUCACCCAGGUCGCCAGCCUCACUAAAGUCAGAUAAGACACAGGGGGAAAAAGCUUCCAGACACUCUCUGUCAAUAAGGAACUUUCCAAACACAUCUGACAGCUGUAAGCUCUGUAACCCCAAAUUCCAGUAGUCCUGCUGCUGCCACUGCCACUAUUGUUGGGUGGAGGAGAGCUACCUCUGCCCCCUACGUUUCCUGUAUAGUCACUGCUGAAGACCUAGGCUUGGAGAAGAGAGGUGAGCACCAGUGGAGCCCCAAGGUGUUGGAGGAUAAAACUGAGGCCGCUUCAAACAGCAAGGCCACUCAGCCUGCCUGUUCUUUCUCCCUUUCUGCUGAGAAAAUUUCAGACUUCAUGACUGUGGCCACUUUCAUCAUGUGGAUCCUGGCUCCUGCCUCCUUAGCAGACACUGAUUUAGCUGACCUGUCUGCCAGACCCUCCAAUCCUGACUGCCCCUGUACUUAACCCCUCCAUGAGAUAUUGAUCAUGAAAUGAGAUGCCCAAAUUAUAAUUCUCCUUUCACCAUUCUUGCUGAAUCUCCUUCUCCCUUUAAGAUUAAUAAUAAUUGUUAGUCCAGGCUGCACCAUUUUGCAAGCCCCUGCCAUUUUACAGACCCUGGUCAGAGUGAAACAUUCCAUGGGGCCCUGCGCUGUGAGAAACAUCCUGCCUAGCCACCUGACUUCCUUAUCACAUCCUGCUGGGCAAAGGCCCAAGGAACAUCUUUAUCAACAUCCUCCUGGGCAGCAAGCCAUACGGCCCAGACCCCUCCUGCCCAGACCUGUAAUUACCCCAGCCUGUAAGCAGCAGUGAGCUCUGGCACCAAGCUGGUCCCCUCUCUGCAAAUUGUACUGGUAAUAAACCUGUGUUGCUGUAGAGCCACCAACUCUCUCUCUCUCCCCUUCCCUUCAAAACCUAACAAUCAUAAUGAUAGAAUAACACCAAGGCAAACCACCCAAUUAAAAGAACUGGACAAAACAUUUGAGCAAUAAUCCCUUUCCAAAAGUUGAUUCAGAAAUGUUCAAUAAGCCCACCAAAAAUGUUCAAUAUUAUUAAUCAUCAGGGAAGUUGCCAUCGCACAUCCACCAGAAUGCCUGUAGGGAUGUAAAGCACUUGGAACACUUCUCACUUGCAGUAAUAAUACAAAAUGGUAAAAUCACAUUGAGAAAAUGUCAUAAAACUUAUUAUAAAAGUAAACAUACACUUAUUCUUACUCAGCACUUCCAUCCUGAAUUAUUUCCUCGAGAGAAAUGAAAAAUGUGGAACACUUCUCAUUGUAAUGAUAAUAUGAAAUGGUACAAUCACAUUGAAAAAAUGUCAUAAAACUUAUUAUAAAACUAAACAUAUACUCAUUCUUACUCAGUGCUUCCAUUCUGAAUUAUUUCCUUGAGAGAAAUGAAAACAUGGAACAUUUCUCAUUGCAAUGAUAAUAUGAAC
Pongo abelii (Sumatran orangutan) is the source of this 2142-nucleotide long non-coding RNA. Lineage: Eukaryota; Metazoa; Chordata; Mammalia; Primates; Hominidae. The record is from Ensembl.